UUCGCUUCCCUCUUUCUGUCUAAUUCACCGCUUGCUCGGCUCAAUGGCUCUUGCUCUCCACCGCCGCUUCCAUCUCAGUUUUAACAUUUUGCGCCUCUCACACGACCAUCACCCCCAUUGCCCUUCGCUCCUCCGACCAUCCCUCUACUCUUCACCAUUCCUGCCACCCCUCCAAGUGCUCUCUUCUUUGGAGAUUCGUAUAUUCCGGGGAGGUGAAAGCGAAUGCAUCCGCUUUUCUCCGCUUGAGCUUGAAUUUUGUGACGGAAUUGUGGUCGAACUUGACUACGAUACUGGCAAAUUGGCCACCAGAUUUGUUCAAUGACGGAGAGUUUAUUGUCAUGCGUGGAUAAAAUACUGGAUUCCUAAUUUCGGGAUUAAAGAGAGGAUUGAUCAUAUCCUUGCAGCUCUGUUUGCAGGUGGCUGCUGAGCGUGUCCUCGUUCUGAAUACUGUGAGAUCCAAGCUGCUUUUUGUAGUUACUACUACAGAUGAUGCCAAAGAUUCUGUAAAGGAGGAAAUUCGCUUGAGGAUGAGUCUCAGGACCAUAUAAAGAGGUAGCAGCUUCAUGAACUAGCCAUGCUGAACUCAAAUUUUAGAGAAGAGAGUCCAGGACCAAGUGGCAACAUGUCACCUCUCAAUACUAGUGGAAUGAAACGUCCCAAAACUGGGCGUUGAAAUGUUAUAUCUGCUGCUUCAUUGAAGUACUUUCUCUUGACCUCUGAUCUGCAGAGUUAUGCCUGAACAUAUACAAUUUGUGGCUAUCAACUCUCCUUACAGCUCAAUGCACAGCUACCUAAGUGAAGAAUUGAUAUGAACAGACAAAGGGGUAUUUGGAGAUAUGCGUUUUUGACUGGAUUUUUUUUUGUUUUUAAGUUUCUAUUUAUUUACUGAAGAACAUAAAACAGAGACAGAAACAGGACGAGGUGGUUGGAGCAGGGGUGGAAAAGGGAGAAACAGAAAUUGGUUUAUAUAGUUGGCCUCUUGAGUUAGGAUUUAUUUGUAACUGAUAGUUUUUAGCUUUUUGGUUUAUACAGUUCAAGCAUUUGAUCAAGUGUUUUUGUUAUAUAUGUAGGAUUUAUUUGUAACUGAUUGUUUUCUUAUCUUUUUUUUUGCAUGAAAUAUUGCUUCUUGAUUUUGUAGUUAUUGUCACAUGAGUGAAAAAUUGCUUCAAACUUUUCCUC
Long non-coding RNA from Coffea arabica (coffee), 1179 nucleotides. RefSeq lists it as uncharacterized. NCBI's taxonomy places the organism in Eukaryota, Viridiplantae, Streptophyta, Magnoliopsida, Gentianales, Rubiaceae. The record is from RefSeq and is a predicted model, not a curated record.